RNAcentral lists this unclassified non-coding RNA (362 nucleotides) under uncultured bacterium. Its description in RNAcentral is "contains 16S-23S intergenic spacer region". The record is from RNAcentral.
UCCCUGUUACCAGGGCAGUCUGUCCAGAGAAAUCCAACUGGACAAAAGGGUUGCGCUCGUUAAUGGACUUAACCAAACAUCUCACGACACGAGCUGACGACGGCCAUGCAUCACCUGUCACUAGAUUCCCGAAGGCACGGUCUCUUUUCGGAGACCUUCCUAGGAUGUCAAACCUUGGUAAGGUUCUGCGCUUAUCAUCGAAUUAAACAACACGCUCCACCGCUUGUGCGGGUCCCCGUCAAUUCCUUUAUGUUUUAAGCUUGCGCUCGUACUCCACAGGCGGGAUGCUUAACGCGUUAGCUUCGCUACUACCAGGGUCGAUACUGAUAACAGCUAGCAUCCAUCGUUUACGGCGUGGACUA